Molecule: ribosomal RNA, 465 nt
Filed under: uncultured bacterium
Lineage: Bacteria
Description: partial 16S ribosomal RNA
Rfam family: Bacterial small subunit ribosomal RNA
Source: RNAcentral
GACGAACGCUGGCGGCGUGCUUAACACAUGCCAGUCGAACGGAAAGGCCCUGCUUGCAGGGUACUCGAGUGGCGAACGGGUGAGUAACACGUGGGUGAUCUGCCCUGCACUUCGGGAUAAGCCUGGGAAACUGGGUCUAAUACCGGAUAGGAGCCAUUUUUAGUGUGAUGGUUGGAAAGUUUUUUCGGUGUAGGAUGAGCUCGCGGCCUAUCAGCUUGUUGGUGGGGUAAUGGCCUACCAAGGCGGCGACGGGUAGCCGGCCUGAGAGGGUGGACGGCCACAUUGGGACUGAGAUACGGCCCAGACUCCUACGGGAGGCAGCAGUGGGGAAUAUUGCACAAUGGGCGCAAUCCUGAUGCAGCGACGCCGCGUGGGGGAUGACGGCCUUCGGGUUGGAAACUCCUUUCGCUAGGGACGAAGCUUUUUGUGACGGUACCUAGAUAAGAAGCACCGGCUAACUACGUG